RNAcentral lists this ribosomal RNA (254 nucleotides) under uncultured bacterium. Its description in RNAcentral is "partial 16S ribosomal RNA". It matches the Rfam family "Bacterial small subunit ribosomal RNA", at positions 524 to 776 of the family's 1533-position model. The record is from RNAcentral.
GACGAACCAUGCAAACGUUAUUCGGAUUCACUGGGUUUAAAGGGUGCGUAGGCGGUCUUGUAAGUCAGUCGUGAAAUCGCUGGGCUCAACCCAUGCAAUUGCGAUUGAUACUGCGAGACUUGAAUGGGGUUAAGGCAGGCGGAAUGUGGCAUGUAGCGGUGAAAUGCAUAGAUAUGCCAUAGAACACCGAUUGCGAAGGCAGCCUGCUGGGCCUUUAUUGACGCUGAGGCACGAAAGCGUGGGGAGCAAACAGG